This 66-nucleotide transfer RNA is filed under the name Cautires sp. UPOL 000339. Its description in RNAcentral is "tRNA-Phe". Lineage: Eukaryota; Metazoa; Arthropoda; Insecta; Coleoptera; Lycidae. The record is from RNAcentral.
AUAUUUUAAGGCUAUUGCCUUCUUAAUAUCUUCAAUAUUAUACUUUUUUUAUAAGCUAUUAAAAUA